AAACUCAACCAAAACGUAUAAGGUAACUCAGUCACAACUUUAAGAUAACUCAGCCAAAACGUAUAAGGUAACUCAGUCACAACUUUAAGCUAACUCAACCAAAACGUAUAAGGUAACUCAGUCACAAUUUUAAGCUAACUCAGCCAAAACGUAUAAGGUAACUCAGUCACAACUUUAAGCUAACUCAGCCAAAACGUAUAAGGUAACUCACUCACAACUUUAAGCUAACUCAGCCAAAACGUAUAAGGUAACUCACUCACAACUUUA
Molecule: long non-coding RNA, 267 nt
Filed under: Brassica napus (rape)
Lineage: Eukaryota; Viridiplantae; Streptophyta; Magnoliopsida; Brassicales; Brassicaceae
Description: long non-coding RNA (BNAP_LNC025307)
Source: RNAcentral